This 2924-nucleotide long non-coding RNA is filed under the name Manduca sexta (tobacco hornworm). Its description in RNAcentral is "uncharacterized LOC115454050, transcript variant X1". The record is from RNAcentral. Lineage: Eukaryota; Metazoa; Arthropoda; Insecta; Lepidoptera; Sphingidae.
GCGCUUACGGUUACUUGCUCAUUGGGCAAGUAACCGUAAGCGGUUACUUGCCAAUGAGCGAUAGGUAAUUUUAACUGCUGCUGCAAAGUAUGGGGCACCGAGCUUGGCAGCCAGUACAUUCACUCGAUAUAAUAUAAAUACCGGUAAUAAACAGGAACGAAUGAUCGGUCCGUCAUCUAACACAAGAUCACAGCCAAAGACUAGAAUUUAACUAUACACUCUUUCCCCGCCAAUUUUUGCUCAUAUUUACUAGCUAACAGUACGACACAUCCUUUCUAUUAAGGGUUAAGUUACCUACAAGCGGCAUCAUUAAUAUUUUCGCAGAUUAAAUGGUGACGAGAAGCGUUUUUGUUUUUUUUUUCGAAGACACGGUAGAGUGAGUUCAGCCCUAUUGCAAGCUGGUGAAAUUACUAAUUUCACGUCGGUUAUAAAGAUUAGUGCAUAAUAUUAUGUAGAUUGUUUGAAAGUAUCCUUUGGAGACGCUGGGGAAUUUACUUUUUAAGUAAUCUGAAUAUUUGUUUGGGUUCUUAGUAUAAAAUGUCAAUGAUAACAUUUGAUACGAUUUCUUAAAGAUGGCGACCUCUGCCACAAUAAAUUAAUGAAUAUGAUAAUAUUAUAACGGAAUCACAGUUUCAUUCCAGUUUGUCUCGGGUCAACUUUAAAGGCUGAUCAUGAUUAGUUCAAUUUUGUGCUUUAAUGUAAUGUUAUGAUGGUCGAAAAAAGAAAAAGAAAUAUUAUAUUACGAAUGUAUAACUUUUAUCAUGUACAAGAUUUUACUUGACUUUGCUUGUGACCAACUUUCCUGCUAAAAUUGUAUAUAUUAUUAUAAUCCAGGAAAUCUGUUUGUCUUUUGAAAGUGAACACAGACUACAAAUGCUGUCGCGAAAGGUCGCGAAAUCAUUGAAAGGCUGGCAACACCAAAGAGCAGUCUCUCUGACGUGAUACGAUAAGGAAUUUGCCGCCAUCUAGGAAUGUUGUCUUGGAAGACCACAGUCCGUAUAACACAGAACAUUACAAGGUAUGUCAUGAUGCUGUUAUCUUUCGUUUCCUUCCGACAUAUGAUAAACUUAUUAAAACCCUUACUCAUAAAUGCGAAGCAGAUUUAGACAUAGUUAAUUUUGUUCUCAUAUCAAGAGAUAACCGACACUUACAGACAUUGAACAUACCUAAUUUUAUAUUUUUAUUAGGUGCGACAUCAUCGCACGUGAUAUUUUACCUUUUCGCCACUAAACCCCCAAACGGGCGAAAACAUGGUGGAGAUGCUGGGAUUGAUCCCAUAAUAAAAAAUUAAAUUAUUGUCGGAAGGAAAAUGAAUGGCAUCGUUGACAUAUACCUAAACAAAAACAAAUCAUUGCUAAAAAGGAAAAAAAAUUUUUUUUUGGUAUUUGUUUAUUAUCAUCCAGGAAAACCCUCGCUUACUCGAAACCUAUAAAACUCUUAUACAAUGUGGUGUUACUUGAAAGAACUGUAAUUACUUCUACGUUGUCUACAAAAGGAAAGUAAGAAUUUACUUUAAAACAUCGAGACUUCCUAGUAGACUGUCUGGAAUAAAUUGCAAUUAAUAUUGUUAAAUUACCGUCAUGUAUGUGUUGUGUGUCAAAUUCACCAUUAAUAAUAAUACGCGUCUACAUAUGGCGCGCAUGAUGAAUAACAAUGGAAAUUAUAAAAGUCCUGAUAAAUAAUAUUCAAUGUUACAUUAUGUAUGUUAAAUUUCAUGAAGUUAGGAAUUUUAGGUAGGUAAAAUUAUAAUUGAAUUUGUCAAUUUAGUUAAGGUACAAAGUAUUUUUUCGCUUAAGCUUCGCGUUUUAGAUUCAAUAUGUAAAUACUUUACUUCGAAAGAUUUUUAAAGAAUAAUACUAGUAUAAUUUAUCCGUUUGAAUUUUAGGUUACAGGUAGGGUGAUAACCAUGAACCACAUAACUUUUACCAAAAUUGUAAUGGUUCAGAAAACAUUCUAUUGACCGGAAAUGCUCGAUCAAAAUGCGCACUAGGGAUGUGCUUGUGGGCGUUUUGCAUUUAUGACCGAAUUUAGACUAUGUUAUAAUCGAAAAGUUUUGACGAUCGCAUUAAAUUUUUAAAUAUGUAGAUUGGACAGACAAAAUAGCAUUUGUUUUUAAAAAAAAAUCUGUUAAUUAGUAAUGCAACAAUGUCGUAAUACUUGAUUCAAGCGAAGAAAUCUAUUAAAAUAUCUUAGGUAUGACUUAAUAGGAACAGGAAUGAAAAACCUCAUAUAUUAUAAUUAUAUACCAAAAUUGAAUUUUCUCUUUCUAUUUCCUUAUAUGACUGUUGUGUAAUAAUUCUAACGGUUUGUUAGCUUAUAUUUACGCAUUCCUUUCUAAAACAAUAUUUUCUUCCACUACUAUAUGGAGCAAUAUUUUCAUAUUUUAACGCAAGCGUAACCGUAAAGUUUCUUUGUUUUAUAAAUAUAUAUAAAAAAAAAAAAAUGGGGUGGAAUUUAUUGUUAUAUAGUCAUGAUAUAAAAUAGAAAGGGUGAAAAUUUAAAUUAACUGUGUGGACAACAUUCACAAGUAAUGUUUUGUGUAAAGGGAAAGUAUCCUUAGAUGAGAGAUAAAGUAAUUAUAUUUUUUUCAUAUUCACGAAAAACAAUUCGAUCAUUAUACGAUUAUCGAUUUUCGAUUUUAUUUAUUUACAAACUAGUGCCACAUCUCUAAAACCGCGCGCUUACGCAGCUCGCUUGAAGCGGCCAUUUUGUGCGGUUUUGUGUUUCGAUGUGCCUAGUAAAUCGAAAAGUUUGCAAUAAUAAUUAUUGUAGUGCCUGCGUGACGGUAUAUGUGAACAGGAUCCAUAGAAACUUUUGGGUACUUACAAGAGCAGUCUCUCUGACGUGAUACGAUAAGGAAUUUGCCGCCAUCUAGGAAUGUUGUCUUGGAAGACCACAGUCCGUAUAACACAGAACAUUACAAG